GGUACCUGUGGUGAAAUACUGCACACAGCUUUUAGUGCCAGCUGUGCACAGAUCAGGUAUUGAUUCUCAGUGCUCAUAAUGAUCCUUGACUUUCUGCUGAAAGAUUUAGUGUGCAGUGGAAAUAGAUACAUACUGCAAUAAGUACCGAAACUCCCUUCAAAAUCAGCCACAUAAGCAUUUCAGAUGUUAUCAAGAGUCCUUAAACAACUUGAAAAUGAGUGUAAAUCUAUUUCUAGCUUUUCAGCACAAAUGAUGGAGACUUUAACUUGAUGUAGAAGAAAAGCCAUAGCAUCUUGUUCUGCAGUCAAAUAAUUGGUAACAUGCUUCUCUUCAUGGGAUAGGUACUAAACUCACAAUGAAAGCAGAUUUUGACCUGCAGUUACUAACAGAUUGAUUACAGGCUGGAAUAAUUAACUGUUGCAGUUAGAGCUGCAGAACACAGAGAAGUUUACAAACAUGAAUCUAUGUCUGAUUUUGACUCAGUGCAAAUAGUAGUAUGUUCUAGCACAGCAGCAUUCCUUGGGCGCUUUGUUCUUUAAAGAUACUCAAGCUGUUGAACUGGUGAUGUAACUGUGAGGCCAGCUUUCACAACGCCGUGUUUUGAAACCCUUGUGCCAACCCAGAGCUGCCUGCCCUACCAGCAGGUGCUGCUGGGGGGUUCUGCAGAGCAGCAAUUGCUGCCACUGGUGUCAGUGAGGGCUGAGAGCAGGGCUGAUGCUCAGGUGUGACGCUGCUGUAUUCCUGAAGCCGAGGUAAAAUCCUAAGCUUAUCGGUGUCCUCAUAUGAUGGUGUUGGUAAAACGGUCUCACCCAGCCGUGGCUGUGCAGCAGCCUUCUCUGCAGCGUGGUGGUUCACGUUGCUCAGAUUGCACUGAAAUGUCAGUGCUGAGCAGAGCUUCGGAGGAGCAGGCCUCUGCCCUGCCUGCCUCUGGUUUGUGCCUCUAGCACGAGCGAUGGCAAGUCGCCCUGUGCUGCUGGAUUGUGAACUCGCUGUCGGCGCAGCCUGGACUGGGUGAGCGCCCAGCGGAACUGGCGGUGGGCUCUGUGUCUUUCUCUGCAGCCCUGCUGGAUGGCUGCCACCUGCACAUUAACUCUCACAACCUGGUGCUACGUCUGCUGCCACACAAAUCUGCUUUUUUUAUUUUCACGACUUUUACAAAUCUUACGGAAAGUUUAUAAUGCAAUUUUAUUUUUCCAGAUUACGUGAAUUUAUAAGAUGUCUUUAUCACUGAUUGAUAGAAACGUUUAGUACUCGUACUUCUCGGUGUACCAUAUAUUUUAAUAAAUUUGCAUAUUCUUACAUUAGAGUUGGCUAACACCUUGAUUUCCUCCCUGAUCACUCUCCCUCUAAUCCUGGACAGCUGGAAGCACUUGGGGACUGGACUGGGGCUAUGAGACAGAGCAGCAGGGCUCGCUGGAGCUAGAAUGUGGGUAUUAAACAGUGCUUGAUUUGAUUUCUUCUCUUCCUCUUGCCCUGUUUUUUGUAGCAUAGACCAUUUAGAGUCUCUAAAAGAGUUUGGCCAGUGUGGAUUUCAAGUUAUUUGCGUUGUUCACUGCAGAUCUGUUUGGGAGUCUGCAGGAGGUGGGCUAACUCUGGCUGAGUGCGAGGUGCAGGCUGAGCUGCUCUCGCUCCCUCAGGAGGACAAAAUACUGCAGAGAAGGUCAUGGGUCAGGAUGGGGGCAGGGAGAGCGCUCAGCAGUUGUGGCCAAAACAACUUCACCUGCAGGAAGAUUAAUUUAUUGUCGCUUCAUAUUGAAGGAUGGUGAGAACUGAAUACUGCAACUGCCAUAAAUCUAUCCUCAGGCUCUGUCAAGGUCAUGAGAUGGGAGAAACCACAACUGCACUGCACUCGUGGCUGACAUUAGGAUGGGGCAGAGAAAGGCCUUGCAUUUUCUGUCUUUAGUGUUGAUUUUCACUGCUGCUGAUCUGUGUUCUGAAAAUGAUCUGACAGUAACCAGGAUGGCUUUCUGGCCCCAAUUCAAAUAGUCUGCUUGUACGUUUUUAUUCUGUGCCUGUUAAUUUGCAGCUGGUGAUAUUUGGUGUAAUCACUGUGCAGAGCAGCUUUCACUGUAACGUUGAACAUGGGCUUUUCCCCUCAGUUGAUAGCCUGUUCAGUUACACCACCUCCAGUUUGGCAGGGCAGCUGUGCUGGUGAGCCUGCCCUGCUGCCAGGUGAGUGCAGGCUGGUACAGGGAGCACAGCCUCGUGGGCACCAGCACCACUCAGCCUCUUCAGUUGUGGGGAGGCUUCAGGGUCUGCGCGCUGUGUGACAGGACUGUGACAAAGUGCAGGGAGCUUGAAGUGUGCUGAGUAGGAGAAGGUGAGAGGGAAAUGUAAAGACAAAUAGCACAGGAAAGAGUGAACUGUCAUCCUAGAACUGAGCAAAGCAAGCUUUUCUACUAUGGGCACCUUACAAGAGCGAGCACAUCAGUGACUGGUUAUCUUUUUCUUUAAGGAAAUAGGCGGAUAACUGCUGGUGGCUUAAGCUAACAGAAGUGAUAUGAAGCAGCAUUUAGGACACAGCUGUUUUCUGUCAAAAGGAGAUAGCGGCAUACAGCAGUGAGGAACCUCAUCCCAAGGGAGAUGAUGAUGAACUGCGCGUUUUUUGUCUGCUCCUGGAACAAAAGGUAUUCGUGUGAGCUCAGGGCUUUGGGGAAGCUGCGCUCUUGCAUGGUCUCCACAUCCAGCUUUAAGAACUGCUGACACAUCCCUGUAAAUGUUCAGUGCACAAUGCAGUCCAACAGCUCUGCAGGUGCUGAUCUCAGUCGUCUGCUUUUGGCUGAGUCCUGCCUUGGCUUUCAGCACAAAGCAUUUCAACUGACUCAAGCAACAGCUUUCCCCCUUUUUUUUUUCCUUUCACAUGACCUGUUCAAGUGAAUUGAAUUAAAUAAAAGCAUACGUAAAUGUUUGCAGAAUUUCAGUUUGCCCCAGUCUUAAUGUGAAUUUCAUUAGCUUUCCUGAAGGCCGCCUGACUUACCUGAAUUGUCCUAACGAGGGCUCCUUUAGGAAUGGAAAGGAAAUGAAACCUAUCUCCACACGCUGAGAACUGGGGGAAGCAAACCCCUUAUGGAAGGGGACAAGCUCUGAAGAAGGAAAGCAAUUCUGUGAUCCUGAGGCACAAUGGCACAAGAUAACCAAGCAUCUACCUUGGCUGGUGCUUUCAAAAUAAAACCACCUUUUUUCCCUUAGUAACUCAGUGUAAGGUCACACGUGUGAAAACACAAGUACUGUGGAAGCAAAGUUUAAGGUGCUUCCCUAGCUUGAAGCAGUUAAUCUUUGGCAUUUCCAGCCUGUUCCCAAAAUGGGUUAUACUUUGAGUAAUUCUGAAAAUUUCAAUUUUAAAUUAGCAGGAACUGCAGCAAUGUAAAUGCUCGCUUGGCUUAAAUAUGGUGAUGAUAGAAAUAUCAGUGCUUUUCCUUUCAGGCUUUCAAAAAAGACAGAUCCAAUAAACCUGCCUGCUGCAGCCUGAGAGAAUGAAAGGCAAGUAAAAAUCCUUUGGCUUUGGCUGCACCUCAGAAUGAAGUCAUGAGCCUGGAUGUGUGAACGCCCUACCAGGAGCAGCUCAGCUGAGUGGGGCUGAUCAGUUUGAGUGGAAGUAAGUUUUAAAGAGAAAGGAGUUGCAGCAGGGCUGUGCUGAACCGCAGCGCUGUUGGCAAACUCUGCUCUUUAGACGGCUUUCCAAAACGCGCAGUGAAGAUGUAGGGAAUAAUUACAGAUCUUCCGUUAGCAACCCAACUUCAAGAAAGCAGCAGUCUAGAAAAAAACAGGCAGAAAACUACAUUCUGAGCAGCUUUCUGAACACCUGCUUAGCACAGAUGUUUGAAAACACUGCGUCUUACAAAGCCUGAAUCUGGCUGUAACUUCGUUACCACUUUCCCUUCUUGUGGCAGAGAAGGCACAGGUCGCACUGCAGUAGCUGCCAGUACUUACGUAUAUGUAAAAUGCUACGAUGGAUACAUUUUUGAAGUCAAGUGCUGCAUCGAUCUCAUCCAUAAAAUACAGUGGUGUUGGCUUGUAAUGAUGAAGUGCAAAAACUAGAGCCAGUGAACUGAGAGUCUUCUCUCCUCCUGAUAAGUUAAAUAUCUUCUUCCAGCUUUUCUUGGGAGGCCGAACGCUGAAACAAAAUCAGUUUGUAAAUUACUUCUGCUCAUGAAUCAAGGAACAGGCCGUGCUGACGAGCCACAAGGCAGCAGGGAGGUCGUGGAGCAGCUCCCUGGGCACACACAGCUACGUGUCAGCUGCUGCCUGCCUGGGCUGGAGCUGCUGCGACACUCGUUUGUUCUCUGUGGGACCUGCAACAUUGAAGAACUACUAUUUCAUUAUGUUUCAAAAGUGUUGUUCUAUUCUUAAAGUAAUGAAUAUACUUGAGGGCUAUAUAUAUAUAUAUUGAUGGCAGAACCAUGUCUGCUUGCCACUGUGAUCUGACAUGAUUCCUCGGGCAAAUGAAAUGGUGUGGGAAACAAGAAACCUGGAACAUUACUUUGAAAUCAAAGCUUUCUAACUGUUGUUUGUUAGUUCUGUGUUUCCUGAAGUGAAAUGAAUAUUACUCAGAGCUAAAAGGUUGUGGCUUCUGUGAGUAUCUUGCCAGUAUUUGCCAAGAGAUGGGACUACCAUGGUUAGCUGUGAAGUUUACUGUAAAAAUGGGUUUUCAAAAGGCAAUACAGUGCCGAGGAAUUGCAGCCACAAUGCCAAGUAUUUUCACAUACCUGAACAUGAUUCCCUCAGAGAAGGGAUCCAGGCUGUCUACGAGUUCUAACUCAGCAUCUCCUCCCAAAGUCAGCAUCUGGUAGUUCUCCUUCAGUUUAUUUGUUAUUACAUUAAAUCCUGCCAUAAAUUCA
Lagopus leucura (white-tailed ptarmigan) is the source of this 4838-nucleotide long non-coding RNA. RefSeq lists it as uncharacterized. The record is from RefSeq and is a predicted model, not a curated record. NCBI's taxonomy places the organism in Eukaryota, Metazoa, Chordata, Aves, Galliformes, Phasianidae. The transcript has 2 exons.